This 450-nucleotide ribosomal RNA is filed under the name uncultured bacterium. RNAcentral's name for it is "bacterial SSU rRNA". It matches the Rfam family "Bacterial small subunit ribosomal RNA", at positions 91 to 535 of the family's 1533-position model. The record is from RNAcentral.
ACAGCUGGCGACCGGUGUGAGUAACACGUGACCAACCUGCCCUCGAGUGGGGAACAACAGCGGGAAACCGCUGCUAAUACCGCAUAACAUCCUUGAGUCGGAAGACUUGGGGAUCAAAGGACCAAUUCGCUUGAGGAGGGGGUCGCGGCUGAUUAUCUAGUUGGCGGGGUAAUGGCCCACCAAGGCAAAGAUCGGUAUCCGGCCUGAGAGGGCGCACGGACACACUGGAACUGAAACACGGUCCAGACUCCUACGGGAGGCAGCAAUGGGGAGUUUUGCACAAUGGGGGAAACCCUGACGCAUCAACGCCCCGUGGAGGAUGAAGUCCCUUGCCGACGUAUACUCCUUUCGACCCGGACCAUAAUGACGGGUCCGGUGGGAAUAACCACCGCCCUACCUCUGUUCCCAACAGCCCCGGUUAUUAAUCACUACAUGAAUUUCGGCGGCCCC